CAGAGACAACGUUGCUUAUAGACACAUGUCAAACAUUCACCAUUCUUCCUCUCUCUCUCGAUGAAAUCGUCUUCUCUCCUUCUCUCGUGCUCGACGACUCCGACCAAAAAAAUCUCUCCUUUUGCAUAGAUUUGCUCUUCGUUUCCCCUCUUUGAGUCCGUUCAACGAUCACGCUAGAGAGUCAGUCAUCAUCAAGAUUGGUGUCUCCUCUCCAUCUCGAUUCAGUCGAUGAUUCCGGGUCUCGUCCUUGAUCUUUCGGUGGUCGGCGCCUCUGUCGAUGUCUCUCUGGUGGUUGUCGUUAACAAAUCCGCCUAUCAUUUGUGAUCUCUCCUCGACAUAGAGAAUCACUCGGCGUCUCUUUCGGAGUCUCUCCUCAACGACUCCGCCUAUGUUCCUUCAUCGACGAUUAAACCAUCCCUCUCUCUCUCGACGGUUCUCCUCGACGGUCGGUGGAAUCGAAUUGAAAGAUUUUCCUGGUCAUCGUUCAAUCUCUUUAUGAUUCAUGCCUCUGGAUUGUGUGCUUUACUUGACGUAUAUGGGGCUUUGCAAGAUGCUUGAGCCUAACCGUGAGAGCUUUAACUAUGGUGGUAACUGGAUAUUAACAGGACUACAGUUUUCGACUGAUGCAAAGUUCAAACAGACACGGGCCAUACUUGUAUAAAGUCUAGACUUGUGUAGUCAGAGUCUUCUGUCUAUAUCUUCUCUCAUGUGUAUUCACUUUUGUAAUCUUGUGUAUUCACUUGUUUACUAGUAACUUGUGUACUCUCAUUCUCUAUAUAAAAUUUGUGAUCAUCACUUUUGUUAAAAAUGUUAAAAAAAAUUAAGCAACCUAAAAUAAG
This is a long non-coding RNA of Raphanus sativus (radish), 839 nucleotides long. RefSeq lists it as uncharacterized. Lineage: Eukaryota; Viridiplantae; Streptophyta; Magnoliopsida; Brassicales; Brassicaceae. The record is from RefSeq and is a predicted model, not a curated record. The transcript is spliced from 4 exons.